ACGCUCGACACCUACGGGAGGCAGCAGUGGGGAAUAUUGCACAAUGGGGGAAACCCUGAUGCAGCGACGCCGCGUGAAGGAAGAAGUAUCUCGGUAUGUAAACUUCUAUCAGCAGGGAAGAAAAUGACGGUACCUGACUAAGAAGCCCCGGCUAACUACGUGCCACAGCCGCGGUAAUCUGAGCGGGCUGCAAGGC
Molecule: ribosomal RNA, 196 nt
Filed under: uncultured bacterium
Lineage: Bacteria
Description: partial 16S ribosomal RNA
Rfam family: Bacterial small subunit ribosomal RNA
Source: RNAcentral